AAAACCCAACAAAGUUGAGAAAAAGAGGAUCGAUAAGGUUUGUUAUACAUAUACAUUCAUACAUAUAUAUAUACACACACACACUCUCUCUCUCUGCGUUUUUGGCAUUUCUGCUUCUCCGAGGAUCUAGAAGCAACAUAAGUAAAAAAUUGCUAUAAUCUUUUCAAGUUCUUCUCAAAAGAAAAUCCGGUGCCAAACAAAAGAAGACACAAUGGGACCCUCCAGUGCACCAAGGCGGCUUUCUGGGAUGCAGAAGCAAGUACUAAGUCUAUACAGAGGGUUUCUGAGGGCAGCCCGCACAAAAUCUGCUGAAGACCGGCAGCGGAUUGAGUCACUUGUAUCAAUUGAGUUCCGCCGCAAUGCAAAGGAAGUAGACCGCAAAAAUUUCCUCUACAUUGAGUACUUGCUGCGACGUGGUAAGAAACAGCUUGAUCAGCUCAGGAGCCCCGAUAUUGUUGGAUUAUCAGCUACAAAUGUCAGUUUCUCUCAAACGAAAGAUCCUACGCACUGAAGUAAGAGUUUCAUCUGUUCUUAUUUAUUUGUUGAGCCAAAUGUAGGUAAUGAAGGAGAAGCAAUAUUUGGCUGAAAGUUCUUAUUGUAUGCUAGUUAGAAAACUCCAAAUUAUGCAAUCUGUAUCGAUUAUCUUCCAAAUAAUGAUGAUACUUGAUUCCUUGUAAUCGCCCCAGUUCUGUUGUUUGUGUUGCUUAUUAUCAAUAAAAUUACGGAAUGAUUUAAGAGAA
This is a non-coding RNA of Malus domestica (apple), 740 nucleotides long. The record is from RefSeq and is a predicted model, not a curated record. NCBI's taxonomy places the organism in Eukaryota, Viridiplantae, Streptophyta, Magnoliopsida, Rosales, Rosaceae.